CACGGGGAGGUAGUGACGAAAAAUAACGAUACGGGACUCAUCCGAGGCCCCGUAAUCGGAAUGAGUACACUCUAAACCUUUUAACGAGGAUCAAUUGGAGGGCAAGUCUGGUGCCAGCAGCCGCGGUAAUUCCAGCUCCAAUAGCGUAUAUUAAAGUUGUUGCGGUUAAAAAGCUCGUAGUCGAAUCUGUGUCCCGCGCCGUCGGUUCAUCGCUCGCGGUGUCCAACUGGCGUGUCCGCGGGACGUCCUGCCGGUGAGCUUAGCCCGCGAGGGCGGCUCAAUUCUAAAUCCCAUCGCGGUGCUCUUAACCGAGUGUCGAGGUGGGCCGGCACGUUUACUUUGAACAAAUUAGAGUGCUUAAAUCCAGGCAAAAUACUGUCUGAAUAUUGUGUGCAUGGAAUAAUAGAAUAGGACCUCGGUUCUAUUUUGUUGGUUUUCGGAACCCCCGAGGUAAUGAUUAAUAGGAGCGGAUGGGGGCAUUCGUAUUGCGACGUUAGAGGUGAAAUUCUUGGAUCGUCGCAAGACGGACAUAAGCGAAAGCAUUUGCCAAAAACGUUUUCAUUGAUCAAGAACGAAAGUUAGAGGUUCGAAGGCGAUCAGAUACCGCCCUAGUUCUAACCAUAAACGAUGCCAGCUAGCGAUCCGCCGACGUUCCUCCGAUGACUCGGCGGGCAGCUUCCGGGAAACCAAAGCUUUUGGGUUCCGGGGGAAGUAUGGUUGCAAAGCUGAAACUUAAAGGAAUUGACGGAAGGGCACCACCAGGAGUGGAGCCUGCGGCUUAAUUUGACUCAACACGGGAAACCUCACUAGGCCC
This 814-nucleotide ribosomal RNA is filed under the name Olisthaerus megacephalus. RNAcentral describes it as "SSU rRNA". It matches the Rfam family "Eukaryotic small subunit ribosomal RNA", at positions 455 to 1225 of the family's 1831-position model. Lineage: Eukaryota; Metazoa; Arthropoda; Insecta; Coleoptera; Staphylinidae. The record is from RNAcentral.